RNAcentral lists this ribosomal RNA (255 nucleotides) under uncultured bacterium. RNAcentral's name for it is "partial 16S ribosomal RNA". It matches the Rfam family "Bacterial small subunit ribosomal RNA", at positions 524 to 776 of the family's 1533-position model. The record is from RNAcentral.
UACAGAGGGUGCGAGCGUUGUCCGGAAUCACUGGGCGUAAAGGGCGCGUAGGUGGUGGCUUAAGCGUGCGGUGAAAGCUCGGGGCUCAACCCCGAGUCGGCCGUGCGAACUGGGCUCACUGGAGCAUAGUAGAGGCAGGUGGAAUUCCGGGUGUAGCGGUGGAAUGCGUAGAGAUCCGGAAGAACACCGGUGGCGAAGGCGGCCUGCUGGGCCUAUGGCUGACACUGAGGCGCGACAGCGUGGGGAGCAAACAGG